AUGCAAGAAAGGAGCCACAGCACAAACCACCAAGUCAACAAAAUGAGAUUCUGCCUUUUGCCAAUGAAUAUCUGUCUUCCUGUCUUGGUCAGGGUUCCUGAGGCCCAGCAUCCUCCUCCCCAACUGGACGAGGUGACCAGAGGUCUUGGAUGCAGUAAGUGGGGUCGUACAGCUCUCAAGGUGCGACACCACCUCCUCACGGUGUGUUUGCCCAGGGCCUCAUCUGUGAAAAUGAACUCUGCAUUCUGUCAAGUGAGUGGAAACAACCUGGAGAAACAAGUCUUCAACAUGUCAGGAAAUGUGCCAACACGUGCAAGUCUUACCACACCUUAUUCUGUUCAAGUUUCCCCAUAUGGAGGGAGGAAUAUUUAUUGGAGUCUCCAUGCUCGUAUCCUUCAGGUGUUGAACACAAUACUGCACCAAGGCUGUGCUCUCUUCUUCAUGGAUCCAUAG
Oryctolagus cuniculus (rabbit) is the source of this 453-nucleotide long non-coding RNA. Lineage: Eukaryota; Metazoa; Chordata; Mammalia; Lagomorpha; Leporidae. The record is from Ensembl.